RNAcentral lists this long non-coding RNA (6342 nucleotides) under Equus caballus (horse). The record is from RNAcentral. Lineage: Eukaryota; Metazoa; Chordata; Mammalia; Perissodactyla; Equidae.
CGCCCCUCCACGCUUCUGCCUUGACCCUCACCACGCCCGCCAACCCGCCCCGCCUCCCCUUCAACGCGCCACUCCCUCCCCCACCACUCCGUGCCACGCCCGCUCUCCACGCCCUGCCCCCGUGGGAAUGUGCAAUGGGGCGGGCAGCGCGCCUUGAGGCUGGCGCCCUGGUAGGGGUGGGCUGACCAGCCUGAUGGGGGCUGAGACUGCCUGGAACCCAAACGGAAGCUCCCUGGCCUAUGUUUGAAACCGUGAAUUCACCGGCUAGAAUGGAAAUGCCAGGUACCUGGGAACCUGGAAGUUGCCUUUUCAAUGCUGCCUUUCCCGUUCUCCCCUCCAUCCCUCUGGCUGCAACGAUCCUCCCUCUGGAACCCCUGGUCAGGCUCACUUCAGAGUGCCCCUUGGACCCUGCCUGGCUGAACCAUCCACACCUUGGUCAGGCAUCUUGGAAGGACUGCCCCAGCCGUGUUAUAAAAGGAGAAAACGUCACAGUGGGCAGCCCCAUUCCUGCGUUAUCCAGACAGGAAACUCAGGUGCUCAGGUCAGUGAUGCCCCCCCAAGCUGCUUUGGGGACCACACCCACACCGCUUCUCUGACGGCCCACACAGGCUGGUUCACCGCAUCCUUGUCCCACUGUGGGCCUCUUGACCUAAUCAACACAGGCAACAGGACCAGAAGUUCCCAGCAGUACCCCCAAAAUGUUAGGGAAGUUUGUGUAGGAAGGUGUUACACAACUUCAGCAUUUCUGCUCUACAAUGCAGCUCCUUUGGAACCACUUUUAACAUCCCUUUUUAAAUAUCCCUUUGGAACCGAGUUUAAUAAUUUGUUGCUGUUGGGAGUUACAAUAAUUCUGUUAAGUCAUUUUCCCAUUUAGUUUCUCUGAUAAUUCCGAGUUCUACAUUACUACCUGCCUCUCAGAUGAGUGCUGGCAGCCCCAGUUCUGUACAGGGAGGAUGCAAAACGGCAGAAUAUCUGUGGUGCAACUUUCUGGAGCAUCAGUUUACUACAAGAUUUGGAAGAAUAAGUUAAGUAAUUUCCAAGGUGCUGGAGAUAGUCCUGAACAGCACAGCUUAGGGUCCUGUGCCAUGAAGGAGCCUACACACUAGUCCUGGGAGAUGAGACAAGCAACAAGCAAGUAAAUCCUGGAAAGAUCAAGGUCACUUCAGAUGGUGAUGAAGCAGAGUCAUGUGAUUGAGAGAGCCCACAGGUCUGGGUGGGCCAUGGUCACCCUGGUUUAGAUUGGCUGGUCGGGGUAGGUCUCCCUAAGGAGGUAAGAUUCGAGUUUUCCAGGUAGGAGGUACACAGGAAGAAUGAAACCGUGAGGGUGGGAGCCCAUCUGAGUGCUGUGGCUGCCAGCCUGGAAAAGUGACUGAUGGGGAGAAAGGUAUCAGGUGAGUUCAGAGAGGGGGCCGAGGCCAGAUCACUUGCCUAACACUUUUAGCAUCUAAAUGUCAACAUAGGCACUUAAAGAUCACAAUCUGGGGGCCGGCCCUGUAGCUUAGUGGUGCAGUUCGGCAUGCUCUCCUUUGGUGGCCCAGACUUGGUUCCUGGGUGUCGAUUUACACCACUCAUCAGCCAUGCUGUGCUGGUGACCCACAUACGAAAUAGAGGAAGAUUGGCAACAGAUAUUGGCUCAGGGUGAAUCUUCCUCAGCAAAAACAAAAAAGCAAAUCACAAUCUGUUUUCAAAACUAUAAAGCAAAGUUGAGGUCUAUCCCAGUGGGGUGUUUUCUGUAGACCUACAUUGUUGGAAAUGCCUCAUAGAGUAAUUACGUGGUUUCCUUUACUCACAGAACUAUGUGUUAGAUCUGUGGGAAAGAAGUACAACACAGAGCUGCUAAAACUAUGAAAGACUUAAUGGUCAGUUUUUUUUUAAUCUUUGGCAUUGGUGUAUCCCGAGAUCUGUACUGUUCUAGGGUGAUAGCUUAGGAGUGAGUAUGAUUUGAACUUGCUCAUGUUUACAGGGUAUACAAUACUGAGAACCAGUUAGAUCCAUCGACUCUGACCCUAAAUGUGGCCCUAAGGUAAACUGGUUGAAGAAAUUGGAUCCUAAAGAUUACAGGUGGAGAAUUUUUAAAGGAUGUCCAUAUUCGAGGGAAGACCAAAGAAUCCCAACUGAAAGAAUUGUGAACUGACUGACAUGAUAGCCACGGAUUGAGCACAAUUUCUUUUUAAAAGGGCUGUCUUGAAGAUUAUGACUCAAACUUUGGAGGAACUAAGGUGAUUGGAAGGAAUCAGAACAUGUGAAAUUACUUAAAUAAAAAUUUAUUGACUUAAAAAAAAACCUAUAAAGCAUAAAAAUGAUCAGUUCAGGGGCUGGCCUGGUAGCAUAGUGGUUAACUUCGUGUGCUCCACUUUGGCAGCCCAGGGUUCACAAGUUUGGAUCCCGGGCAUGGACCUAGCACCACUCAUCAAGCCAUGCUGCAGCAGUGUCCCACAUAAAAUAGAGGGAAACUGGCAAAGAUGUUAGCUCAGUGACAAUCUUCCUCAAGUAAAAAGAGGAAGAUUGGCAACAGGUGUUAGCUCAGGGCCGAUCUUCCUCACAAAAAUAAUAAAUAAGUAAAAAUGAUCAGUUCAAACUGAACUUUAAGAGAUUAGUCUGCUUGGGUACAAUAUAUUUCAUCAAAUAUAAAAUUGUAGUUAAGGGAAAAAAAGAUUAUAAUGGAUAAUUUCACUCAGAUGUUCCCAAGUCCACCAGUCCUGUAAAACCCCCCUUCCCCUUCAAGUGUCGAUAGAACAGACACUCUUUCGUAAAAAAUGCCCAUGUCCCAUCUGUGAUGGGGAACCUCAGAUCCUUCCUUUGCUCAUGCCUUUCCCUGAGAAUCAUUAGAUUUUACGUUUCUUCAAGUCAGUUUGUCCUAAUUUAUUGCUUCUGCUAAAUUUGAGUCUCACUUGUAGCUGUCCUCUGACUUUCCCUUUAUUUUCUUCCCAAGGAGGAGAGGAGCCCAUUUCCUUAGUUUCCCUCAAAUGCACUCCCCCAGCAAGUCUAUGUAAUUGUGAUAGACUGGUUAUUUGUGGAAAGAAACAGAAGUUUUAUUGCAUCUGCUUCAAACUUCAUAACGGUCAUCUCUGUUCCAACUGACAUUGGCCAUGCCCGCCUGGGGGUCAGCUGUCCACACUGUCCUCGUGGCCUUCAGCGCUGCUGCACUCUCUCUGACUCCUUCUUUCCUCUCUCUCCACCACCUUGGCCCCCAUCUUGGGGUUGUCACAGGAAGCUCCAGAUCAACCGUGCCCACGGCUGCCAUGUCACAGGAGCACCUUAAGGUUUCUCCUUAAGUGAUAUUUCUGUCUUGACAGGAAUUCUGCUGUUGGAUUAAAUUGUAUUCUCCUUGCCUUAUGAACUAUGAAGACUUUCUUGCAAGAUGUCGCUAAUUUAUUUUUCCUUUAGGCAAUAACUCUGCAGUGUGCCAUGCAUGUCACACACACACACUUUCAGAGAAAAUGUGUUCUAUAAAUGCAAAAUGACAAUGAUAAUUAUUAUUAGUCAUGAUUUCUUGUGAUGUUCUAGAAUUCAUCUGUGAAAUGAUCUGUUGCUGAGAAAUAGAAUGAGAGAUAUUUAAAACCUCCAAAGGAAAAGAGAUCGAGUUGAAAUGUGCAAAAGUCUUAUUUUAUUCAGCAACUCAGCUUAAAAAUGGCCUCGUUAAAAGGGCUGUAUCCACAUUUUCAGUGAGUGGAGAUCAAAAUUUAGUUAAUCUCUUGUCUUGAAAAUGUUUGGAACUUUUUGUCAUUGUAACAGAACCCUAAAAUAUGGUCUAUAGGUAGUCCUUCACUUUUCUGUACAUUCGAAUCAUAUGUCUCUUGUUCAGACUUCCACUUUUUAACAUUAUAAUUCUAGUGCCUUAAAUACUUUGAAAAAAACCCCAGAAUUCUGACUCCUCUAAGUCAGAUGGUAAACAUCUCAAGUUGUUAAAUGAUGAUUUUUCUGGCAGUCAACAUUUGAAUAUAAGUGCUGUGACCAUUUUUCAGAAAAAUGUAUGUGUAUUUAAAUAAUUUACGGAAUUUCUGCAUCAGUUUACAAAAGACAGUUUAAGUUAAGGCCCAGCUCUGGCGGGGUGUUAUUCAAGCUUGUCACCUGCUUGCAGGUUACUGCACUGUUCUGUGCUUCUGUCUCCUCAUCUGUGACAUGGGCAAUAACUCAUAGAGAUGUGUCAGAAUUAAGUGGGUGGACACAGGUGAGGUGCUUAGAUCAAUGCCUGGCAUGUAAUAAGUAUUUAAAAACGGUUAGCCAUUAAGAUAUAAAGCUAUAUUAUUAAGAUAUAAAAUUAUUAUAUUAAAGUUCACAGAAAUGGGGAAAUGAAAGUGCUACUGCUAUUGAGAAAACGUUAAAACCAGUGAGGAUUUAUCCAAAGAACAUGAAAACACGAAUGCAUAAAGAUACAUGCACCCCUAUGUUCAUCGCAGCAUUAUUCACAACAGCCAAGACUCGGAAACAACCUAGGUGCCCAUCAAGAGAUGAAUGGAUAAAGAAGAUGUGGUAUAUACACAAUGGAAUACUAAGCCACAAAAAAGGAGGAAAUCUGGCCAUUUGUGACAACAUGGAUGGAACUUGAGGGCAUUAUGCUAUAAGCAAAAUUGUCCAUGACUGUCAGUGAAGAUUUGCAGAGAUCAAAAUUUUAAAAGGAUGAAAGCCAUCAAAUGAGAUAACGGCCAUGUCACUAUAGCUACAAGGUGAAGAGUAAUAGGACCUGCGCCCGUCAUCCGUCCUCCUCCCCACGGCCUGCCCCCCGGCACAGCGUGAGGCUGGGGUGAACUAGGGGGCUGUUAGAGCAAGGGGAGCACUUGGGUCACCUCCAGUGCUUUCUGCACAGGACGCCUGCCACAGCGUGGACUGACAAGCGGUGCGUAGAUCCACACCUUGGAUCUGAACCGGCGAACCCUGGGCUGCAGAAGCGGAACGUGUGAACUUAACCGCUGCACCACCCGGCCAGCCCCUAAUAGGCAUUUUUACAUAUCUGGAUUCCUUUCCUUCAGUCUUGCACUGAAACUCCUAAAGAUAAUAACAAUAUAGUGGUGGUAGAUUUGGGCAUAUGUGUAACACAAUGAACAGACAGAUACAGACUAGUGACAGGCUGCAUAUUUACACUUGUUAAAAUUCAACAGUAGUAAAGCUAAAUGAUCCAAUAAGUGGGAGGUCCAGUGUAAAGCUAGAGAGAGCAAAUUUUCACCUCCGUGGAAAAUUCCCGACAGAAGCAUGCUAUGAUUCAUGCACCCAAAGCAACUCUAAAUCUCUGCAAUAUUUAACAAACCACUUUUCCUCCGAGACCUCAGUCCCUCCUCCAUAAAAGAGGGUCUCAAUCAAUUAUCCGUAAAAUCAUCUCAAAUUUCGACAAUCUGUCUUUAUAUAUCUGUGAUUCUCCUGCUGUGUAAACUUAUCCCCACUGCUGGACACAAAAAAACAAACCUGUUCUUCAUGCGAAAGAACUGUACUGUCUCCCGAGGCCGAUUCGAUCUGAACGGCAAUAGCGAUCAGCUAGGGACUGUGAUUCGCGGGAGAUCAAAUACUUUAAACGCAGCUCCUCUAGCUGCCUCCCAUUCUGCAUCCCGUUCUGCAUCCAGACGUUAACAGGCCCUUCACAGAAACGGUUGCACAACUUUAUCAGUGGUCAGGUAAAUAAAAAUUAAAACCACAGUCGCCACGACUCGCCCGAAGAGGAGCUGCGGUGAAGACGACCCACAGGAUCAACGCCGAUCGCUCGUGUGCACGCGGAGCAAGCGCAGCUCUCACGUGUCCACAGCGAGUCAGAACUGACGCUCGACUUUGGAAAACUGUAUGGGAGUAUCCAGUACAGCUGGCCCUACAAUCCGUUCCUGGUUUUAUAUCCAAUAGAAAUGAGUGAUUUGUACGCCCAAGCUUUUACAAGAAUGAUCAGAGUAGCGUUGCUUGGAAUCUAACAAAUAGCAUGCGGUAUGUCUGUUCAUUGGGAUACCACACAGCCACGAGAAGGAACCGUCAGCACAUGAACCAGUGUGGAAUCUCACAUACGGAGUACUGAGGAAGGAAUCCAGAGAUGAAAAGAGAUUUCCAGACCUGACCAACGGCUGUUGAGAACUGCACUGUGUUUACUGACUUCAUCCUCCUGGACUCUCUGACAGAGAAGAUGUACAACAGGGACUCUGUGCUCUUCCUCCUGGCUUAUGGCAUCACUGUGAUUGCCAACAUAGGGAUGAUCCUACUGGUCAAGAUGGACCCCAGACUCCACCUGCACGUGUAUUAUUUCCUGAGCAAUCUGUCAUUCUGAGAUGUCGGAUAUUUCACCACUGUCUCUCCCAAAAUGUUGGCUGAUUUUUUAUAUAAAAGUUUAUUUUGUUCAAUUCUGUGCCACCUAUACCUAUUUUGUUGAGG